RNAcentral lists this unclassified non-coding RNA (416 nucleotides) under Hevea brasiliensis (rubber tree). Lineage: Eukaryota; Viridiplantae; Streptophyta; Magnoliopsida; Malpighiales; Euphorbiaceae. The record is from RNAcentral.
GGCAUUGCAAGCACUAGUGAAGGAACAUCAUUUGGCCAAGGACUCGCCAAGCCCUAAAGGAUGCGCCACUUGCCUAAUGACAUUGCACAUACGAGAAGAAGAAGGAACAAGCAUGGCUGAAUGCUUGGGAGACCCAUUAGAGCAUAGCUUAGGUGGCAUGCCAAGUGGCGAAUGAUCUGGCAACCAAGGAAGAUGUGGCAGCUUGUGUGGAAGGUGACGUGGCAUGUGGGACCUCUUCUUCUACAAGUCUACCAACCAUUAGAAGAUACAGCUUUGCCCAAUAUGCAAGAGCUAUUGGUGUUGGUUAUUGUCCACUUCUUUUACACUUUUGGUAAAAGCUAAUUAACUAAAUCAAACUACAAGACAAAGAACAUUUUUUGGAGAUUGUGAUUUGAUUUGGGAGGCUUCUUUUGCAA